RNAcentral lists this ribosomal RNA (253 nucleotides) under uncultured bacterium. RNAcentral's name for it is "partial 16S ribosomal RNA". It matches the Rfam family "Bacterial small subunit ribosomal RNA", at positions 524 to 776 of the family's 1533-position model. The record is from RNAcentral.
UACGAAGGGUGCUAGCGUUGUUCGGAUUCACUGGGCGUAAAGGGUGCGUAGGUGGUGAGGUAAGUCGGAUGUGAAAGCUCGGAGCUCAACUCCGAAAUGGCAUUGGAAACUACCUUGCUCGAGGGUUGGAGGGGGGACUGGAAUACUUGGUGUAGCAGUGAAAUGCGUAGAUAUCAAGUGGAACACCAGUGGCGAAGGCGAGUCCCUGGACAACUCCUGACACUGAGGCACGAAAGCUAGGGGAGCAAACAGG